GUGCUCUCUUCAGCAGCACAUAUACCAAAACUAGAAUGAUACAGAGAGAUUAGCAUGGCCCCUGUGAAAGGAUGAUGCACAAUUCAUGAAGCAUUUCAUAUUUUU
This is a small nuclear RNA of Aotus nancymaae (Ma's night monkey), 105 nucleotides long. The record is from Ensembl. Lineage: Eukaryota; Metazoa; Chordata; Mammalia; Primates; Aotidae.